This 396-nucleotide small RNA is filed under the name Pan troglodytes (chimpanzee). RNAcentral describes it as "processed transcript". The record is from RNAcentral. Lineage: Eukaryota; Metazoa; Chordata; Mammalia; Primates; Hominidae.
GGAAUCAUUAAAGAGGGAAAUUGUUGCUUUAUGGCACGGCGGGAGAAGAGUUAGGUAGUUAGUGGGAGUGUAGCAUCCAGAAAGAGGAAAAGAUCCGCUGUGUUCUCUGUGGGAUGAAUAAUACGGCAGCUAGUCCAAUGUCUACUGCAACUUCAAGUAGUGGAAGGAGUACAGGGAAGUCUAUAAGCUUUGCAACAGAAUUACAGAGUAUGAUCUUGUAUUGUUGCUGUUGAGAAGUCCUGGCUGGGAACGGUGGCUAACACCUGUAAUCCCAGCACUCUGGGAGGCUGAGGAAGGAGGAUUGCUUGGGCCCAGGAGUUUGAGACCAGCCUGAGCAACAUAGUGAGAACCCUGUCUCUACUAAAAAUGAAAAAAUAAAAAUAGCUGGUGUGGUAG